GAACGCAUAUUGCGCCCUCUGGUAUUCCGGAGGGCAUGCCUGUCCGAGCGUCAUUACUACCUUCAAGCACGGCUUGGUUGUUGAGUCAAUUGUCCUUUAAUGGACAGACUUGAAAUGCAGUGGCGAUGCUGAGUCCUGGUGCUCGAGCGUAUGGAGCUUUGUCACACGCUUUAGUGGCCCAGCCGGCAUUCCGUCGAUUAUUUCUCAAAAAAAACUAAGAUUUAACCUCGGAUCAGGUAAGGAUACCCGCUGAACUUA
Molecule: unclassified non-coding RNA, 258 nt
Filed under: uncultured fungus
Lineage: Eukaryota; Fungi
Description: sequence contains 5.8S rRNA gene
Rfam family: 5.8S ribosomal RNA (bases 1-53)
Source: RNAcentral